Molecule: transfer RNA, 76 nt
Filed under: Vibrio phage 172P1
Lineage: Duplodnaviria; Heunggongvirae; Uroviricota; Caudoviricetes; Zobellviridae
Description: tRNA-Gln
Rfam family: tRNA
About the family: Transfer RNA (tRNA) molecules are approximately 80 nucleotides in length. Their secondary structure includes four short double-helical elements and three loops (D, anti-codon, and T loops).
Source: RNAcentral
GGCGCUAUGGUGUAACUAGACAGCACUCCAGUCUUUGACACUGGCAGUACAGGUGCAAAUCCUGUUAGCGCUUCCA